UGGCACUGAACAUUGACCCUACAUGUGUAGGAUAGGUGGGAGGCUUUGAAGCGCAGUCGCUAGAUUGCGUGGAGCCGUCCUUGAAAUACCACCCUUGUAGUGUUGAUGUUCUAACGUCGACCCCUAAUCGGGGUUGCGGACAGUGCCUGGUGGGUAGUUUGACUGGGGCGGUCUCCUCCCAAAGCGUAACGGAGGAGCACGAAGGUGGGCUAAUCACGGUUGGACAUCGUGAGGUUAGUGCAAUGGCAUAA
Molecule: ribosomal RNA, 251 nt
Filed under: Vibrio alginolyticus
Lineage: Bacteria; Pseudomonadati; Pseudomonadota; Gammaproteobacteria; Vibrionales; Vibrionaceae
Description: partial 23S ribosomal RNA
Rfam family: Bacterial large subunit ribosomal RNA
Source: RNAcentral